UCUCCGUUGGUGAACCAGCGGAGGGAUCAUUACCGAGUUUACAACUCCCAAACCCAAUGUGAACGUUACCAAACUGUUGCCUCGGCGGGGUCACGCCCCGGGUGCGUCGCAGCCCCGGAACCAGGCGCCCGCCGGAGGAACCAACCAAACUCUUUCUGUAGUCCCCUCGCGGACGUUAUUUCUUACAGCUCUGAGCAAAAAUCCAAAAUGAAUCAAAACUUUCAACAACGGAUCUCUUGGUUCUG
Molecule: unclassified non-coding RNA, 245 nt
Filed under: plant metagenome
Description: partial contains small subunit ribosomal RNA, internal transcribed spacer 1, and 5.8S ribosomal RNA
Source: RNAcentral